RNAcentral lists this ribosomal RNA (253 nucleotides) under uncultured bacterium. RNAcentral's name for it is "partial 16S ribosomal RNA". It matches the Rfam family "Bacterial small subunit ribosomal RNA", at positions 524 to 776 of the family's 1533-position model. The record is from RNAcentral.
UACGGAGGGUGCAAGCGUUGUCCGGAUUUAUUGGGUUUAAAGGGUGCGUAGGCGGGUUAUUAAGUCAGUGGUGAAAGUCUGCGGCUCAACCGCAGGAGUGCCAUUGAUACUGGUAGUCUUGAGUACAGUAGAGGUAGGCGGAAUUUAUGGUGUAGCGGUGAAAUGCAUAGAUACCAUAAAGAACACCGAUAGCGUAGGCAGCUUACUAUGCUGUAACUGACGCUGAGGAACGAAAGCGUGGGGAUCGAACAGG